This 498-nucleotide ribosomal RNA is filed under the name uncultured bacterium. RNAcentral describes it as "bacterial SSU rRNA". It matches the Rfam family "Bacterial small subunit ribosomal RNA", at positions 27 to 518 of the family's 1533-position model. The record is from RNAcentral.
GGACGAACGCUGGCGGCGUGCCUAACACAUGCAAGUCGAGCGGAGUCAGUAAGAGGAAGUUUCGGAUGGAAUCUUAUUGAUUUAGCGGCGGACGGGUGAGUAACGCGUGAGCGACCAACCUUGCACAGGGGGAUAACGGACCGAAAGGUUCACUAAUACCGCAUGAGACCACGGUGUUGCAUGACACAGAGGUCAAAGGAGCAAUCCGGUGCAAGACGGGCUCGCGUCCGAUUAGGUAGUUGGAGGGGUAACGGCCCACCAAGCCUAUGAUCGGUAGCCGACCUGAGAGGGUGAUCGGCCACAUUGGAACUGAGAUACGGUCCAAACUCCUACGGGAGGCAGCAGUGGGGAAUAUUGGGCAAUGGGGGGAAAAACCCCCUGACCCAGCAACGCCGCGUGAAGGAAGAAGGUUUUCGGAUUGUAAACUUCUGUCCUUGGUGAAGAGAAGAAGACGGUAGCCAAGGAGGAAGCCCCGGCUAACUACGUGCCAGCCGCUGC